CCUACGGAGUGCAGCAGUGGGGAAUAUUGGGCAAUGGGCGCAAGCCUGACCCAGCAACGCCGCGUGAAGGAAGAAGGCUUUCGGGUUGUAAACUUCUUUUCUCAGGGACGAAGCAAGUGAAGGUACCUGAGGAAUAAGCUACGGCUAACUACGGGCCAGCAGCCGCGGUAAUACGUAGGAGCCAAGAGUUAAACGGCUUUACUGGGUGUAAAGGGCGGGUAGGCGGGACUGCAAGUCAGAUGUGAAAACCCUGGGUUCAACCUAUGGCCUGCAUUUGAAACUGGUGUUCUAGAGUACUGGAGAGGCGGGCGGAAUUCCAAGUGUAGCGGUGAAAUGCGUAGAUAUGAGGAGGAACACCAGUGGCGAAGGCGGUCUGCUGGACAGCAACUGACGCUGAGGCGCGAAAGCGUGGGGAGCAAACAGGAUUAGAUACCCGAGUAGUC
RNAcentral lists this ribosomal RNA (443 nucleotides) under uncultured bacterium. RNAcentral describes it as "partial 16S ribosomal RNA". It matches the Rfam family "Bacterial small subunit ribosomal RNA", at positions 338 to 795 of the family's 1533-position model. The record is from RNAcentral.